UCGCGAAAACUUCACAAUGGGGGCAACCCCGAUGAGGGAAUUCCUAGUGCUAGCACAUUUGUGUUAGCUUUUCUUUAGCUUGGAAAACUAGAGGAAUAAGGGCUGGGUAAGACGGGUGCCAGCCGCCGCGGUAAUACCUGCAGCCCAAGUGGUGGUCGAUUUUAUUGAGUCUAAAACGUUCGUAGCCGGUUCGGUAAAUCUUUGGGUAAAUCGGGGGGCUUAACCUUCCGACUUCCGAGGAGACUGCCGAACUUGGGACCGGGAGAGGCUAGAGGUACUUCUGGGGUAGGGGUAAAAUCCUGUAAUCCUAGAAGGACCACCGGUGGCGAAGGCGUCUAGCUAGAACGGAUCCGACGGUGAGGGACGAAGCCCUGGGUCGCAAACGGGAUUAGAUACCCCGGUAGUCCAGGGUGUAAACGCUGCAGACUUGGUGUUGGAGGCCCUUUGGGGGCAUUCAGUGCCGGAGAGAAGUUGUUAAGUCUGCUACUUGGGGAGUACGUCCGCAAGGAUGAAACUUAAAGGAAUUGGCGGGGGAGCACCGCAACGGGAGGAGCGUGCGGUUUAAUUGGAUUCAACACCGUAAAACUCACCAGGGGAAGACUGUUACAUGAAAGGCCGGGCUAAAGACUCUGCCAGAUUUUCA
Molecule: ribosomal RNA, 643 nt
Filed under: uncultured euryarchaeote
Lineage: Archaea; Methanobacteriati; Methanobacteriota
Description: bacterial SSU rRNA
Rfam family: Archaeal small subunit ribosomal RNA
Source: RNAcentral